UCACACCUUAACCUGUCAACUAU
This 23-nucleotide microRNA is filed under the name Saccoglossus kowalevskii. RNAcentral describes it as "sko-miR-4825-3p". Lineage: Eukaryota; Metazoa; Hemichordata; Enteropneusta; Harrimaniidae. The record is from miRBase by way of RNAcentral.